CCAAUAGCGUAUAUUAAAGUUGUUGCAGUUAAAAAGCUCGUAGUUGAAUUUCAGGCCUGGCUGGACGGUCCGCCCUUCGGGUGAGUACUGUCUGUAGUCGGGUCCUACCUUCUGGCGAAGCGUCAUGGCCUUAACCGGCCGUGGCGGGGAACCAGGACUUUUACUGUGAAAAAAUUAGAGUGUUCAAAGCAGGCAAUCGCUUGGAUACAUUAGCAUGGAAUAAUGGAAUAGGACAAUGGUUCUAUUUGUUGGUUUCUAGGACCGUUGUAAUGAUUAAUAGGGAUAGUUGGGGGCAUUAGUAUUCAAUUGUCAGAGGUGAAAUUCUUGGAUUUAUUGAAGACUAACUACUGCGAAAGCAUUUGCCAAGGAUGUUUUCAUUAAUCAAGAACGAAAGUUAGGGGAUCGAAGACGAUCAGAUACCGUCGUAGUCUUAACCAUAAACUAUGCCGACUAGGAAUCGGGCGAUGUUGACAAAAUGACGCGCUCGGCACCUCAUG
This 497-nucleotide ribosomal RNA is filed under the name uncultured Glomeromycotina. Its description in RNAcentral is "partial small subunit ribosomal RNA". It matches the Rfam family "Eukaryotic small subunit ribosomal RNA", at positions 591 to 1092 of the family's 1831-position model. The record is from RNAcentral. Lineage: Eukaryota; Fungi; Glomeromycota.